GUUGAUGCAAAUCACCUUGAAAAUCAAAGGCAGGGCUGGUCAUAGCCCUCCAUAUGCUCUUUAUUUGGCCCAUAAAUAAACCAGACUUCACAUGAGGACUGGGCAGCGCUGAGUCUGUGAAUGUCUCCUCUCUUUUCAUCCCAAGCUUUAGGUAAAUGGAUCUUUUUGGAUCCACAUAUAUUUCAUGAGAAUAGCCCGUCAGCAAGCAGAAAGGCUGGAUUAAUGUAGAGGAGCACAAAGAACUUAUUCAGAAAUGAAUUUUAAAAAAUGAAUCCGUUAUGGAGAAAUAAGCUGACAUACGUUUAGGACAAACGGCAUAGAAAUCACAGGUGAAACAUUUAAAAGUAUUUGUAUUCCUUUUACUUCUUUGCAUUUCCCCCGUUUAUACAAGAAUGUAUUUUAUUGGAAUAUUAUACAAACAUAAUAAUGCAGAGUUGUGCUGUUUAAGAAAAAUUAUGCAGAAAUUCCAAAAUGUAUAUAUUGUGGAGCCACCUUUUGUUUUGAGGGGUGUCUCAACCAGGUUUACACAUUUGGAGACUGACAUUGUCUUUUUUUCUGAAAUAGCUCAGACUCUGUAAGAUUGCAUAAUCUCCCUUCCAAUUUACAAGUGCACUAUUGUGUUGGUCCUUCACAUAAAAUCCCAAUAAAAUACAUUGCAGUUUAUGACCUGACAAUAUGUGAUACAAGGGGGAUGAAAACUUUUGCAGGGCCCCAUGUAUGCACAUACAACAUUUACAUAAAAUUCAAAAUACCAGUGUUAAAUGUAAAGUCAUACAUUUCUUGAGACAAUGUCACACAGUAUUGACAUUAACACAAUAUUGAUUUUAUUACCUCUAUAUGUUGAU
This is a long non-coding RNA of Xiphophorus couchianus (Monterrey platyfish), 845 nucleotides long. RefSeq lists it as uncharacterized. Lineage: Eukaryota; Metazoa; Chordata; Actinopteri; Cyprinodontiformes; Poeciliidae. The record is from RefSeq and is a predicted model, not a curated record. The transcript is spliced from 2 exons.